GAUGAACGCUGGCGGCGUGCCUAAUACAUGCAAGUCGAGCGAACGGACGAGAAGCUUGCUUCUCUGAUGUUAGCGGCGGACGGGUGAGUAACACGUGGAUAACCUACCUAUAAGACUGGGAUAACUUCGGGAAACCGGAGCUAAUACCGGAUAAUAUUUUGAACCGCAUGGUUCAAAAGUGAAAGACGGUCUUGCUGUCACUUAUAGAUGGAUCCGCGCUGCAUUAGCUAGUUGGUAAGGUAACGGCUUACCAAGGCAACGAUGCAUAGCCGACCUGAGAGGGUGAUCGGCCACACUGGAACUGAGACACGGUCCAGACUCCUACGGGAGGCAGCAGUAGGGAAUCUUCCGCAAUGGGCGAAAGCCUGACGGAGCAACGCCGCGUGAGUGAUGAAGGUCUUCGGAUCGUAAAACUCUGUUAUUAGGGAAGAACAUAUGUGUAAGUAACUGUGCACAUCUUGACGGUACCUAAUCAGAAAGCCACGGCUAACUACGUGCCAGCAGCCCGCGGAAUACGUAAGUUGGCAGCGUUAUUCCGGAUUAUUGUGGCGUAAGCGCGCGUAGCGGUUUUUUAGUCUGAUGUGAAAGCCCACGGCUCACCCGUGGAGGGUCAUUGGAAACUGGAAAACUUGAGUGCAGAAGAGGAAAGUGGAAUUCCAUGUGUAGCGGUGAAAUGCGCAGAGAUAUGGAGGAACACCAGUGGCGAAGGCGACUUUCUGGUCUGUAACUGACGCUGAUGUGCGAAAGCGUGGGGAUCAAACAGGAUUAGAUACCCUGGUAGUCCACGCCGUAAACGAUGAGUGCUAAGUGUUAGGGGGUUUCCGCCCCUUAGUGCUGCAGCUAACGCAUUAAGCACUCCGCCUGGGGAGUACGACCGCAAGGUUGAAACUCAAAGGAAUUGACGGGGACCCGCACAAGCGGUGGAGCAUGUGGUUUAAUUCGAAGCAACGCGAAGAACCUUACCAAAUCUUGACAUCCUUUGACAACUCUAGAGAUAGAGCCUUCCCCUUCGGGGGACAAAGUGACAGGUGGUGCAUGGUUGUCGUCAGCUCGUGUCGUGAGAUGUUGGGUUAAGUCCCGCAACGAGCGCAACCCUUAAGCUUAGUUGCCAUCAUUAAGUUGGGCACUCUAAGUUGACUGCCGGUGACAAACCGGAGGAAGGUGGGGAUGACGUCAAAUCAUCAUGCCCCUUAUGAUUUGGGCUACACACGUGCUACAAUGGACAAUACAAAGGGCAGCGAAACCGCGAGGUCAAGCAAAUCCCAUAAAGUUGUUCUCAGUUCGGAUUGUAGUCUGCAACUCGACUACAUGAAGCUGGAAUCGCUAGUAAUCGUAGAUCAGCAUGCUACGGUGAAUACGUUCCCGGGUCU
Molecule: ribosomal RNA, 1370 nt
Filed under: uncultured bacterium
Lineage: Bacteria
Description: bacterial SSU rRNA
Rfam family: Bacterial small subunit ribosomal RNA
Source: RNAcentral